RNAcentral lists this microRNA precursor (60 nucleotides) under Sphenodon punctatus (tuatara). RNAcentral's name for it is "Spt-Mir-132-P1_pre stem-loop". It matches the Rfam family "mir-132 microRNA precursor family", at positions 11 to 84 of the family's 84-position model. The record is from RNAcentral. Lineage: Eukaryota; Metazoa; Chordata; Lepidosauria; Sphenodontia; Sphenodontidae.
ACCGUGGCUUUAGAUUGUUACUGUGGUUUGUGUGUUGGUAACAGUCUACAGCCAUGGUUG